CAGCCACAUCACAUUGAAACAUCAGUUCUCAUACAAUCACUAAAGUUAAGCCUGUCAAAUCUGUUCAGUACCUAGAUGGGUGACCACUUGGGAAUACCAGGUGCUGUU
Acanthosepion pharaonis is the source of this 108-nucleotide non-coding RNA. NCBI's taxonomy places the organism in Eukaryota, Metazoa, Mollusca, Cephalopoda, Sepiida, Sepiidae. The record is from the annotation of a GenBank genome assembly.